Molecule: ribosomal RNA, 429 nt
Filed under: Chloroflexota bacterium
Lineage: Bacteria; Bacillati; Chloroflexota
Description: Chloroflexi bacterium partial 16S ribosomal RNA
Rfam family: Bacterial small subunit ribosomal RNA
Source: RNAcentral
UGGGGAAUAUUGCACAAUGGGCGCAAGCCUGAUGCAGCCAUGCCGCGUGUGUGAAGAAGGCCUUCGGGUUGUAAAGCACUUUCAGCGGGGAGGAAGGCGAUAAGGUUAAUAACCUCAUCGAUUGACGUUACCCGCAGAAGGAGCACCGGCUAACUCCGUGCCAGCAGCCGCGGUAAUACGGAGGGUGCAAGCGUUAAUCGGAAUUACUGGGCGUAAAGCGCACGCAGGCGGUCUGUCAAGUCGGAUGUGAAAUCCCCGGGCUCAACCUGGGAACUGCAUUCGAAACUGGCAGGCUAGAGUCUUGUAGAGGGGGGUAGAAUUCCAGGUGUAGCGGUGAAAUGCGUAGAGAUCUGGAGGAAUACCGGUGGCGAAGGCGGCCCCCUGGACAAAGACUGACGCUCAGGUGCGAAAGCGUGGGGAGCAAACAGG